GUGCAAGGGACAGUCAAACCGAAACUGGUCAGUCACUCCUCCCACAAACAACUCACAACUGAUAGCCUAUUAUAAUAGUAGUGAAACUAAACUUUUCAGUCGACGUUUGUCCAUCUGCGUAAUCUUCCCGUGUGUGUGAUCACAGCUAAGAUGACGAGAUGCAGGUUGUUAUCGCUGUGGUUUGCUCUCCUCGUUAUUUUGACAGAGAUGAUUUUCGCCCUCGUCGUUGAGGCAGCUGUUUUCAUCAAUUCCAAUGAAGUCACCAUAAGUCCCUUCAAUUUCUGUUCAAAGGGACAACACGGCAAAAUACUAUCUUGUCAAGCACUUAUAUCGACCACCUUAAUCGGAGCUUUUGAGACCAUGAUCAUAUCAAGAAUAGCUGUCAUGCUUUGUCUUUACGUCCCUGUGGUGCUUGUGCCAUUUGCUCUACUGAGCUCGCUGCUAUCAUACGGUGAAGAGGACUCCAGCGUGCUGCGUUUCAGCACGUUGUGCCAGGCUACCGCCAGCGCCCUCAGCCUACUGGGCCUGGUCUGGUUUGUCGGACUCCACUGGGCCUAUGCCAGUCAAUCAGCUAUGACCGUGUACUACUACUGCUGUGUUUUAGUAACCGUUGAGUUGGCCGUUACAACGUAUCUGAGUUCUGUGUUGGUGGUGAGGAAGCUCGAUCAACUACACAGUAAACAGAAAAAGGUUGGAGAAAAGCACAAACCCUAACCCUCAUUAGAAGGCAAGCUUUCAUGUACACCAUUCGAUUACUGUAUUCUCAUUUCAACUUCGUGAUGUUUUUGCACAGAAUUUCUAACACAUCGCUUCUCCUUUCUAUUAUGAUGCUUUACUGUAAAUAAAAAAUGUAUUAUGCAUUAUGUAUACCUUUGUGGGACAUUGAGUGACCAUCCUAUGCUGUUACAAUCUUGGAAUCUUUAUUGGCUCUCAUAGAAAUAAUAACAAUUAAGCUAAAGUACCAUUGCUUGUUAUUUCUCUAGUUCAGGACAAUAAUGUGAUUGCAGUGUUUGCAUCUGAAUGUUAACAAUAAAAAACUCCUGUCUAGGUUG
Molecule: long non-coding RNA, 1052 nt
Organism: Gadus morhua (Atlantic cod)
Lineage: Eukaryota; Metazoa; Chordata; Actinopteri; Gadiformes; Gadidae
Exons: 2
Source: RefSeq, a predicted model, not a curated record